GACAGAGGGUGCAAACGUUGUUCGGAAUUACUGGGCGUAAAGCGUGUGUAGGCGGUGUGGUAAGUCGGAUGUGAAAGCCCCGGGCUCAACCCGGGAAGUGCACUCGAUACUGCCACGCUAGAGUAUCGGAGAGGUUGGUGGAAUUCUCGGUGUAGAGGUGAAAUUCGUAGAUAUCGAGAGGAACACCGGUGGCGAAGGCGGCCAACUGGACGAAUACUGACGCUGAGACUCGAAAGCGUGGGGAGCAAACAGG
This 253-nucleotide ribosomal RNA is filed under the name uncultured bacterium. RNAcentral describes it as "partial 16S ribosomal RNA". It matches the Rfam family "Bacterial small subunit ribosomal RNA", at positions 524 to 776 of the family's 1533-position model. The record is from RNAcentral.